AUGGUCACUUCCCUAUGUUUAGUUCAGCGCCAUUCUUUUCUCUUAUUCAUUUUGGUAAAAAGAAAUCUCUCACUAUCAAAUGUAUUAUGUAAUCCUUUUUUGCUCAGCAGCAGUAAAUUUCAUAGAGGUGAUGUAAUAUAUAAUGUCAUUAUUGCUGUAGAAGUUGCAGAAGUGUAUGCUGACUCUACUCGAAUGAUUAUUAUCCCUACAUGCAUAACAUAUUAUAAAGAUAUCUUCCUAUGUGCCCCUUUUGUAAGGAUGCAUGCUGACGGGUGCACAUCGUUUCUAGCUUCUUUUGGUGCAUCUUUUAUCCUGCUUCAGCUGGUUAGCCUGAAUCCUCUUUUCUCCUGUUUCAGUUGA
RNAcentral lists this ribosomal RNA (360 nucleotides) under Triticum aestivum (bread wheat). RNAcentral's name for it is "partial small subunit ribosomal RNA". The record is from RNAcentral. Lineage: Eukaryota; Viridiplantae; Streptophyta; Magnoliopsida; Poales; Poaceae.